UACGAAGGGGGCUAGCGUUGCUCGGAAUCACUGGGCGUAAAGCGCACGUAGGCGGCUUUUUGAGUCAGGGGUGAAAUCCCGGGGCUCAACCCCGGAACUGCCCUUGAAACUGGAGAGCUAGAAUCUUGGAGAGGCGAGUGGAAUUCCGAGUGUAGAGGUGAAAUUCGUAGAUAUUCGGAAGAACACCAGUGGCGAAGGCGACUCGCUGGACAAGUAUUGACGCUGAGGUGCGAAAGCGUGGGGAGCAAACAGG
Molecule: ribosomal RNA, 253 nt
Filed under: uncultured bacterium
Lineage: Bacteria
Description: partial 16S ribosomal RNA
Rfam family: Bacterial small subunit ribosomal RNA
Source: RNAcentral